CUGGCCUAAACUGUGGCGAGCUGUGAUGCUGAGAUUAGAACUCAAGUCUUCUGAAUUUACCUCCUGUAUGUAUCCUCACUCUACUGGGAGAAAAAUAAGGCCAGAGAGGUUAAGCAACUUGACGAGUGUCACACAGCCAGAAAUAGAAUGGCACAGAUCCCAAGUGAACCAUGAACCCAUGAUAUAAUGCAGCCUCUCAUUCUCUUUCCCAGUCUUCUCAUCCCAAGGCAGGUAAGGUUUUCUUUAUUCAGUGAAGGUCAUCAAUCUGGAUUACAAGUAGUUUGUACUUCUUCCUCAAUCAGCUUGAGUGAGUGAGUCCCUGAGUGCAAACACUUCCCAAAUAUGCCCCACAGUCACUUUUUACCAUCAUAGCUGGUCUAUCCCUGUCAAGCAGUGGGUCUGGCCCCAUAAGUGAGAAUCCACUGGAGUGUACCCCAUGCUUCUACGUCUCUUUCUACUGAGACUUUGCUCCGGAACCUAAGAUUACUCUCUGCAGCCACGGCAGCCUCAAGAUACUCCCGUAGAGUAAGAGUAUUUGGAGAUAUGAAAAGUAUUCAUACCAGAACUGAUGCAGAAAACACGAUCUCGGCAGUUAGUCUCCCUUUUCUAUCUAUCCCGUUUGCAAACCCAAGCACCGGUCCUAUAUUAAAUCUGAAGGAUCACUGUAUUGACUAUCGGUCUGUAAAGAUCUAACAAUAAAAAUAACUUAUCUGAA
This is a long non-coding RNA of Lynx canadensis (Canada lynx), 715 nucleotides long. RefSeq lists it as uncharacterized. NCBI's taxonomy places the organism in Eukaryota, Metazoa, Chordata, Mammalia, Carnivora, Felidae. The transcript is spliced from 2 exons. The record is from RefSeq and is a predicted model, not a curated record.